Molecule: ribosomal RNA, 30 nt
Filed under: uncultured bacterium
Lineage: Bacteria
Description: partial 16S ribosomal RNA
Source: RNAcentral
UCGGAAGGUGCGGCUGGAUCACCUCCUUUC